GUUGCGGGCGCGCAAGAGUCAAUAUGGCGGCCGUGUCCAGGCAAUUCGAGCCAGAAUUUAGCCCUACUUCCUGCCUCUCUUUUGCUCUAAAUUACUCCACCAGUGGCGCAGUGGGUCACAACCAGGAGGUGCAUGCUUCGGACUGCGAAAUAACUAACAUACCAUUUAAAUUGUAACAACCAACAGAAUAGCCUGUGGGCCUCCUGAUGCUGUUGGUGUCCAGCUCCUAUCAAUCUCCACCAGCAUAGUCAGUCUUCAGAAAUGCAGGCUUAAAUGGUGCCACACAAAGCAUAUUCCAGAGCUGGCUGCUGAAAACCAAGUCCUCCUUGGAUGACAUAAUGAGCUCAAUGCAUGGUGCUAGUUAUUAAACAGAAACAAGAACCCGUGUAUAAUUUACUAAAUUAGUUAACAGCUUUGAAUGAGGAGCCUCUGGAUAAACAAGGAGGCAGCCAUAUGGAGAUUCAGAAUAUUGAUUGAUUUUAUAUACUGCCCUAUACCCUCAGGGAAUAUUGAACCAUCUAACUGUAGUAUACUGACUGGCAGUAUAGUUUUACAGCUUUAUACAAGAUCUUUCCCAAUCCCAGUCUUAUCUGGAGAUGCCAGGGAAUUCAUCCGAGACCUUCAUCUAAGAUAUGUGCUCUGCCACUGAGCUAUAGCUUCGUUGCUGCAAAAAGGUUGUCCAAUGGUAUAAUACGGGUAUCGGCUUUCAACACUCUUCUGGAAAUGUCAGCGAUAAAUACUGGAAAUGUUGUAGGAAAAUAUGCAACUUUAUUCAGUACUUGUGGGCCUGCUGAAGAGGCAAGUAAAUAAAUGUAGAAAUUGAGAAGUAAUGUAUUGGGGCACGUGUUUGUGUGUGUACCCUUCUGCUCACCUUAUUUGAAAGCCUACAAAACAGGCUGUUUAUUGCUCGAAUAACACUGGACAGAAAUGUAAUGAAAAACCUGGAUAUAAAAGCCUAAAGUUGUUCUGCUCCAGCCCAUAAUAAUAAAUGUAACCCUAUAAAACUAUAUUUAUACAAGUGUAAAAUUUUAUAUGGCUCUAAAAUAAACUUGCUAACGUAUAUAAAAAACACAAACAGCACAAUCCCACCCCAUUAAGCAUGCUUGUGUUCCACUUAUUCUAAUAAAAGGGUUACCGAACAACCCAGAACACCAGUUACACUGGGAGCAGGUAGGGAGUCAUAAUACCUCUACGCCAGCAGAAUGGCUAUCAUAUCCUAUGCUCCCUCAGCCCAGGAUGGGAGAA
Molecule: non-coding RNA, 1245 nt
Organism: Podarcis muralis (Common wall lizard)
Lineage: Eukaryota; Metazoa; Chordata; Lepidosauria; Squamata; Lacertidae
Source: RefSeq, a predicted model, not a curated record